This 484-nucleotide ribosomal RNA is filed under the name uncultured bacterium. Its description in RNAcentral is "partial 16S ribosomal RNA". It matches the Rfam family "Bacterial small subunit ribosomal RNA", at positions 28 to 523 of the family's 1533-position model. The record is from RNAcentral.
GACGAACGCUGGCGGCGUGCUUAACACAUGCAAGUCGAACGAUGAACCCGGAGCUUGCUCCGGUGGAUUAGUGGCGAACGGGUGAGUAACACGUGAGUAACCUGCCCUUGACUCUGGGAUAACUGCGGGAAACUGUAGCUAAUACCGGAUACGACCUUCGGCGGCAUCGCCAGGGGGUGGAAAGAAUUUCGGUCAAGGACGGACUCGCGGCCUAUCAGCUUGUUGGUGGGGUGAUGGCCUACCAAGGCGACGACGGGUAGCCGGCCUGAGAGGGUGACCGGCCACACUGGGACUGAGAUACGGCCCAGACUCCUACGGGAGGCAGCAGUGGGGAAUAUUGCACAAUGGGCGCAAGCCUGAUGCAGCGACGCCGCGUGAGGGAUGACGGCCUUCGGGUUGUAAACCUCUUUCAGCACCGACGAAGCGCAAGUGACGGUAGGUGCAGAAGAAGGACCGGCCAACUACGUGCCAGCCGCCGCCGUAA